AAGUCGUAACAAGGUCUCCGUUGGUGAACCAGCGGAGGGAUCAUUACCAGAGAGUUGCAAAACUCCCUAUAACCCUUUGUGAACCUCACCCGUUCCGUAGUGUCUCCGGCAGGUAUCCCCAGGGGAGGGGACCUGUGCCAUCAGGCGCCUGCCGGAGGGCUCAACACAAACUCUUUUAUGGCGUCUGCCACUGCUGUCUGAGGCACUAUAGAAAUAAAUCAAAACUUUCAACAACGGAUCUCUUGGUUCUG
The sequence is an unclassified non-coding RNA, 251 nucleotides long. The stretch from base 1 to 46 matches the Rfam family "Eukaryotic small subunit ribosomal RNA", at positions 1786 to 1831 of the family's 1831-position model.